Molecule: non-coding RNA, 92 nt
Filed under: chicken gut metagenome
Description: THF riboswitch
Rfam family: THF (Tetrahydrofolate) riboswitch aptamer
About the family: THF riboswitch presents a pseudoknot that joins P1-P2 and the loop of P3 and two THF binding.
Source: RNAcentral
GCAGAGUAAACACGACGCGUUAAGUGUUGAGGGAUGGGAUGUCGCCUUCAAACGAAAAGCGCGAGCUUGCGGUGUUGUGUUGCGUCCGCUGC